UCCAGCGGGCAGUUGCUGCCGAUAAAGGCAGAGGAAAGUCGAGACACGCACGUCCUGGUUGUAAACACUUAAUAGAUUACAAUAACAGGAAGUAGUACGGCGCCCGGCGCAAGCCGGGGCAGGGCGACCUGACGACGGUGAAAGGGGCUCAUAAUGAGCUGCGAGUAGCUAUAAAGUGCCACAGAAACUAUACCGCCGGGUGACCGGCGGGUGCAAGGGUAAACUCCGUCAGCGUGCAACCCAAAUAGACGGAAAUGGGGAGGAGGGCACUAAAAGCCUCACACCCAUAACCGUGGGUAGGGGCGCCCCGCAAGGGGAAGGAAGCAAGUCUUCCUUAGAUAGAUGACUGCC
This 351-nucleotide RNase P RNA is filed under the name Bacillota bacterium. RNAcentral describes it as "partial RNase P RNA component class B". It matches the Rfam family "Bacterial RNase P class B", at positions 1 to 320 of the family's 365-position model. Rfam says of the family: Ribonuclease P (RNase P) is a ubiquitous endoribonuclease, found in archaea, bacteria and eukarya as well as chloroplasts and mitochondria. Its best characterised activity is the generation of mature 5'-ends of tRNAs by cleaving the 5'-leader elements of precursor-tRNAs. Cellular RNase Ps are ribonucleoproteins. The record is from RNAcentral. Lineage: Bacteria; Bacillati; Bacillota.